This is a long non-coding RNA of Perca fluviatilis (European perch), 410 nucleotides long. RefSeq lists it as uncharacterized. Lineage: Eukaryota; Metazoa; Chordata; Actinopteri; Perciformes; Percidae. The transcript has 4 exons. The record is from RefSeq and is a predicted model, not a curated record.
CUCUGCUAUAAUAUAUUAUACAUCAAGAAUAAGGAACACAAUAUUGCAGAGAAUGCCAAAGUUAGGCUCAAGGAAUAAGGAGUUUGUUGUCAACUACAGACAACAACAACCUUCAGAUUUAUCAACAUUAGAAGGAGGGACCCCGCAUGAUCGACGUACCGACUUAAGUGUGCCUCCCUCAGGCACAAUCUCCAGGCUUGGGAGACGGCAGCAAACCAACCUCAUUUCCUGCUCCGCUGCUUUACAAAUGGCUCCUGGAAGCUGAACCAAGACCAAGGCUGGGUAACCUACAUACUGCUUUGCUGCACUGCAAGCUUCUCACCCACUGAUCAGCCACUCAUCUCAACACCGUGAAGAAUCAUCCUCUUUGACCGAUAUAUCAUCUUAUGAAACAUAUAAGAUGGCUGCAC